GUGGGGAAUAUUGGACAAUGGGGGGAACCCUGAACCAGCCAUGCCGCGUGUGUGAAGAAGGCCUUUUGGUUGUAAAGCACUUUAAGCGAGGAGGAGGCUACCGAGAUUAAUACUCUUGGAUAGUGGACGUUACUCGCAGAAUAAGCACCGGCUAACUCUGUGCCAGCAGCCGCGGUAAUACAGAGGGUGCGAGCGUUAAUCGGAUUUACUGGGCGUAAAGCGUGCGUAGGCGGCUUUUUAAGUCGGAUGUGAAAUCACCGAGCUUAACUUGGGAAUUGCAUUCGAUACUGGGAAGCUAGAGUAUGGGAGAGGAUGGUAGAAUUCCAGGUGUAGCGGUGAAAUGCGUAGAGAUCUGGAGGAAUACCGAUGGCGAAGGCAGCCAUCUGGCCUAAUACUGACGCUGAGGUACGAAAGCAUGGGGAGCAAACAGGAUUAGAAACCCCGGUAGUCC
This 451-nucleotide ribosomal RNA is filed under the name uncultured bacterium. RNAcentral's name for it is "partial 16S ribosomal RNA". It matches the Rfam family "Bacterial small subunit ribosomal RNA", at positions 354 to 796 of the family's 1533-position model. The record is from RNAcentral.